UACGGAGGGUGCAAGCGUUAUCCGGAUUCACUGGGUUUAAAGGGUGUGUAGGCGGGUCUGUAAGUCAGUGGUGAAAUCUCCGAGCUCAACUUGGAAACUGCCAUUGAUACUAUAGGUCUUGAAUUUUGUUGAGGUAGGCGGAAUAUGUCAUGUAGCGGUGAAAUGCUUAGAUAUGACAUAGAACACCGAUUGCGAAGGCAGCUUACUAAGCAAAUAUUGACGCUGAGGCACGAAAGCGUGGGGAUCAAACAGG
This 253-nucleotide ribosomal RNA is filed under the name uncultured bacterium. RNAcentral's name for it is "partial 16S ribosomal RNA". It matches the Rfam family "Bacterial small subunit ribosomal RNA", at positions 524 to 776 of the family's 1533-position model. The record is from RNAcentral.